RNAcentral lists this transfer RNA (76 nucleotides) under Rhizobium sp. Leaf386. Its description in RNAcentral is "tRNA-OTHER". It matches the Rfam family "tRNA". Rfam says of the family: Transfer RNA (tRNA) molecules are approximately 80 nucleotides in length. Their secondary structure includes four short double-helical elements and three loops (D, anti-codon, and T loops). Further hydrogen bonds mediate the characteristic L-shaped molecular structure. tRNAs have two regions of fundamental functional importance: the anti-codon, which is responsible for specific mRNA codon recognition, and the 3' end, to which the tRNAs corresponding amino acid is attached (by aminoacyl-tRNA synthetases). tRNAs cope with the degeneracy of the genetic code in two manners: having more than one tRNA (with a specific anti-codon) for a particular amino acid; and 'wobble' base-pairing, i.e. permitting non-standard base-pairing at the 3rd anti-codon position. Lineage: Bacteria; Pseudomonadati; Pseudomonadota; Alphaproteobacteria; Hyphomicrobiales; Rhizobiaceae. RNAcentral also lists the same sequence under 1 other name. The record is from RNAcentral.
GUGUCGGUUGCAGAACGGUAAUGUCACGUCACAACGUGGGGGGUAACUCUUGCGGGUUCGAAUCCCGCCCGGCGCA